AUUGAACGCUGGCGGCAUGCCUUACACAUGCAAGUCGAACGGCAGCGCGGGGCAACCUGGCGGCGAGUGGCGAACGGGUGAGUAAUAUAUCGGAACAUACCCUAGAGUGGGGGAUAACGUAGCGAAAGUUACGCUAAUACCGCAUACGCACUAAGGUGGAAAGUGGGGGAUCUUCGGACCUCAUGCUCAUGGAGUGGCCGAUAUCUGAUUAGCUAGUUGGUGAGGUAAAAGGCUCACCAAGGCGACGAUCAGUAGCUGGUUUGAGAGAACGACCAGCCACACUGGAACUGAGACACGGUCCAGACUCCUACGGGAGGCAGCAGUGGGGAAUUUUGGACAAUGGGGGCAACCCUGAUCCAGCAAUGCCGCGUGUGUGAAGAAGGCCUCGGUGUAAG
Molecule: ribosomal RNA, 395 nt
Filed under: uncultured bacterium
Lineage: Bacteria
Description: bacterial SSU rRNA
Rfam family: Bacterial small subunit ribosomal RNA
Source: RNAcentral